RNAcentral lists this transfer-messenger RNA (367 nucleotides) under Persicitalea jodogahamensis. It matches the Rfam family "transfer-messenger RNA". Rfam says of the family: Bacterial tmRNA, also known as 10Sa RNA or SsrA, is named for its dual tRNA and mRNA-like properties. The record is from RNAcentral. Lineage: Bacteria; Pseudomonadati; Bacteroidota; Cytophagia; Cytophagales; Spirosomataceae.
GGGGGCGACUGGUAUUGACAGCGGGUUGAAGGUCUGUGUAAGCAUGUCGGGAGUUGGGGGUAUCUUCCGUAACAAAUGCCUUCCAAAUAAUACACGGCGAGUCUAACUACGCCAUGGCUGCCUAAUCUAGGAUUACGCAAAUGCCAUCAUCCCUCCUCCCCACGUGCUGCCGGGAGGAUCAAGGGGUGUCGAAACGCAGCGCUGGUUGGAAUAGUGAUACGGAAAACCAACGAGACACCAGUAUCUAAGGUCGCGGUGAAGGUCUGAUUUGAACCUUGCCCGGCACGAAAACCGAAUCAAAGCUAAACAUGUAGAAGGCGCAGGGUUUCCCUGUUCUGGACGAGGGUUCGAAUCCCUCCGUCUCCAC